UUUUCAUUUAACCUAGAGUGAGCAAGAACAAGACAAUUAUUGAACAUGGGGUAAGACAUUCUCACUAAUAUGUAAAUAAAGCCAGUUUGUUACUUAGAAUUAUUUAUUUUUGGAGAAACCUAACUUGAUUUUUUUAGCAGACAUUACUUGUAUUCAUGAAGAUGAUGAGUGAUCGGCAAAGGCAAUCUGUAAUCUGCUAGCAUCACGGCACGACAUCAACAUCACUCUAAUUACAGGCAGAAGACAGUUGAAGAAACUUGUGUGGACUUAUGGAAAGGCUCGUUUCAACCCAAUGAUUUGUCUGCCCUACAAAGAACUUUGCGUCCUGCUGGCCCAGGCAUGGAUCAAAGAUGGCGAGACAUUCAAUAAUGUCAUCUUCACAGAUUAAUCAACCAUGGCCCAAUUUGCUCCAGAAAAAAAGGAAGAAGAUGAAGCAAGCCGAGUCCCAAGCAUCUGCUCAAACUCAAUGUGUGGGGUGCAAUUUCUCCCCAGGGACCAGGCCCAUAUUUGAUUUUUGAUGGUAUCAUGUCUCGAUAUAUCUUUGAGGAAGAAAUCAUCAAGUGCUGAGCACUUGCUUUUCCUUCACUCUACGGUCCAACUCUUGCCAAACCAUCUCAAAUGGGUUGAGAUCGGGUGAUUGUGGAGGCCAAGUCAU
Molecule: non-coding RNA, 655 nt
Organism: Oncorhynchus mykiss (rainbow trout)
Lineage: Eukaryota; Metazoa; Chordata; Actinopteri; Salmoniformes; Salmonidae
Source: RefSeq, a predicted model, not a curated record